RNAcentral lists this ribosomal RNA (294 nucleotides) under uncultured bacterium. RNAcentral's name for it is "partial 16S ribosomal RNA". The record is from RNAcentral.
GGACUACAAGGGUAUCUAAUCCGUUUUGCUCCCCACGCUUUCAUGCCUCAAUGUCAGUAGCAGAAUAGUUAAUUGCCUUCGCUAUAUUGGUGUUCUUUCAUAUAUCUACGCAUUUUACCGCUCCACAUAAAGUUCCAUUAACCUCUCCUGCACUCAAGUUCGAUAGUAUUACUAACUUCCACGAGGUUGGGCCUCGAUUUCCCACUAGUAACUUAUCGAACCAUCUACGCAUCCUUUACGCCCAAUAAUUCCGGAUAACGUUCGUCACCUAUGUCUUACCGCGGCUGCUGGCAC